This 1156-nucleotide long non-coding RNA is filed under the name Struthio camelus australis. RNAcentral's name for it is "lncRNA (ENSSCUG00000011930.1)". Lineage: Eukaryota; Metazoa; Chordata; Aves; Struthioniformes; Struthionidae. The record is from RNAcentral.
GUCUUUGGGCAAAUACUGGAUAAAGAGCCAUCAUUCCUCUAGCCACUGUGGUGAGUGAAGACUUUACUGCACAAGAGGUGGCUGCAGCCAGGAAAUUAGCCUGGUCCUGCCACAGUUACGGAGGAUCCAGGAAGAGUAGAUCUGCCAAUGAGAAGGUAAGAUAAUUUCAGCAAGCAAGGAUGAAAUGCGCUCCAUCGUGGGGUCUCACCUGGGGCCGUGCCUCGCUGGAUGCAGAGAGCUCAUCUCCUAGGAGCAUUCCCUGCUUGGCCUUCCAGCUAUCCAGGAUGUGCUUUUGAAUAAUGCUGAUACAUGAAGGAAAGGAGGAACAAUCCCACUGAUUUUAACCAGUUGUGAAAUCCAUAGGAAAAAGAUGUGGGCAUAUUGCGUCUCAUUAUUCCAGCCUUCUCUUUGUGGCUUUCCCUGCGGUUUUGUUCAGCUGCAUUAUUCUCUGGCGCCGGAAUGCCGUGUUUCUUCGAUCAGAGGCCGGAUCCUACCCUCUGAAAAAAGCAGUACCUUUGACAUGACUGGCCCCCAGCCAGAUGAGGAGACCAGUUGGCACCUCAGUCAAAUACAUUUUUACGCCACAGAGCAGCUCCCCCACACACACUGUGAGCUGCUGGAGGCUGCACAGGUCUUACUUAACAACCUCGGCCGUAUAGCCAACUGGGUCUUGCACAAGCAUCUCCAAGAAGUCACAGCCUUUCUGUUAAAUUCAGUGAGUUUUGGAAUUAAGUUCAUGCCAGAUCCAGGGGGAAAGGAAUGAAUCCCACAGAAAAGCGGUCAGCGCACAUACCACCCUCAUUCCCUAUUGCAUUGUCCGUAUUGUAUGUCAAAACUCUGGUCACGGAGUGAAAAUUCCUGGACACAAUGACAAGACCUGUCACUUCAUCCCUCAUCUGUGUUGGGACAAUGUUGUAAAAAGCUAACACAAGCCACCGAGCACUCCAGCUGAUAACGAAGACCUUUGAUCUUUCUUUGGUGUUUUCUGGGAAUGCUCACUUCUAAAUCACACUCAAAGUGGGGGCAGUGCCGGGGCACCUCUCCUUGAAGCAUAUUAACAUACUGACCUCGGCCUCUUUGUCCUGGAGUCAGGCAUAUGAUAUGGCUAAUGAGUGAGAUCAGCAAUAAAAUACUGGCCAUGGAUGGGAAUAAAGCA